This is a long non-coding RNA of Gallus gallus (chicken), 7161 nucleotides long. RefSeq lists it as uncharacterized. The transcript is spliced from 4 exons. Lineage: Eukaryota; Metazoa; Chordata; Aves; Galliformes; Phasianidae. The record is from RefSeq and is a predicted model, not a curated record.
CAGUUCCAGUGCCUCACCACCCUCACUAGAAAAGACUUUUUCCUUAUAUCUAAAAUAAAUUUACCCUUUCUUUAAGCCUGAAGCCAUUUCCCCUCCCCUUUAGAUACUGAAAGGCUGCUAUCAAGUCACCUCGGAGCCUUCUCUUCUCCAGGCUGAACAGCCCCAGCUCUGUCAGCCCAUCCUCAUAGGAGAGGUGUUCCAUCUCUUGGAUCACUGUGUGGCCCUUCUCUGGAUGCUCUCCAACAGGUCCAUGUCUCUCCUGUACUGGGGACUCUACAUCUGGAUGCACUAUUCCAGGUGAUGUCUCACCAGCGCGGAGUAGAGGGGCAGGAUCACCUCCACAUGAAAUUCCAAGAUUUCUAAGAAUCGACUGGUCCCAUAUCCCAGUAACUCAAGUCUGCUCAGUUUCAUCUUAUUAAAAAAUUAGGGAAAAAAGAAAAGGCAGCAUGAAAAAGACCUCCUUUGCUUGGGAAGCGGAGUACUUCCAGUGGAGGGAAGAUCCGUAAAGUAGGAUAGCUAUAACAGCAUCGGUGAGAUGGUUUUGGCAGAAGACAUAGUCUCAGCACCGUGUGCUUUUGAAAGCAGCUGCCCCGAUCUCUUGCUGCUUGUCAAGAUGAAAUGAAGGACUGGAAGCAGAGGAAAGAACAACUGAAAUGAAGAAAUGCUUUCACGUAAUUGCAAUUUGACCUUGUGCCAGUGGAGCUCACUCAUGAACUAGUGGAUUGUCUGAAAUGACUUCUCUGAAUCACUGGAAUCAUAUCUAAAACGGCAGCUUGAUUUUCUUCUUUGUGCUUUGCCUGUUGGCAGCUUUCCUUGGACUCUGCAGCUAAGCCUCAGUGCUGUGUCUGUGCGUGCGUGACAGUCCUGCUGCCAUCACUGAGGUGCCCAGGGUUGGUUGGGAUGGAUUCAGACUUUCUGUUACCAAAGAGCACAGCAGAAAUAGGAUGAGGCAUGCUCCUGUGGCUGAUGCCACAGUGGGGUUUGUGUGAAGAGUGGCUGGGGCUCUCUGGUUUGUGGAGAAACUAGUUGGGAGCAAGGUGUAGAAAUACCAAUUGGAGGCACAGAAGGUCAUUUUGGUGUUCUUUGCUCAUUCUCCUAAUCCAAAAGCAGGGGAAAAACAGUGAAAAUGGAAGGUAAUAAAUAAAACAGUUGAGGAAGGUGUUAGCUCUGUUUACUGUCUGUCUGUGAGACUUCACUGAGGCUGGGAUCUUAGUGCAGACUAAAAUAACAGAUAACCAUACAGGUGUUGAAAGCCCUGGUUUCAGGGCAGACAAAGGUGGUAUAAAGUGGUAUAUCUUAUUUCAUAGCAAAUGUCAGCGAGGACAGAUGCUUCCCUCUGCACACACUGUCUGACAGGCGCUGGUCAGACCUGAGUCGGCUCUUGAAUCUACGUGUGAUCCCUCAAGACACUUUUAAACCCACAGGAAGCAGGACAAUUGUUUGGGGACUAAUUUUUGUGAGCUGGAUGGAUGAAAGAAGAUUUCUGUGGUGCCAGUUCCCUCUCUUCUGGCUUAGGGGAGAGGAUGUGCAGGGGGAUGUCCCUUCCCUGGGAUGCUCAGGAUGUGUUGGAGAGCGUGGGGCACAACGUCUGAAGCUGGCUUAGAGCAUUUCUGAGCAAAACGUCUUCCUUUGCCAAGUCAGCCUCUGCAUGUGGAGGAAUGGAAGCCACCAAUGGCCCCGAGUUGCAGUUCGGCUGUGGCAGACUCAACUGUGGGACUGAAGCCUUGCUGCAGCCUGUCCCUCCACCAGCCCAUCUCACAGCAGACAGCCCCUGAGGGCAUCUGUAACAGAUGGACGGUGGCUAAGCAGCAGCCUUGUUGGAAUUCAGUUAAAAAUCAGUACCAGUUUGUAGAAAAUCUUUGUAGAAAAUGUAGAAAAUAGGAAACUUUCAACCUUUUCUCAGUCUGUCACAGUUUUUAUUCAUUUGAGCCAGGGAAGAGGAAUUUUAGUUCUGCCUCCUGAUGAAUCUGCCAGUGUGGUUCCCACUAUUUUCUCUCCUUGAUAGAGGCAAUUGGCGUGUUGCUUUCUACCCUAGGAAGCCUCAACUGCCACAAAAGGCCACAGUCUGAUGGGAUGUCAAACUGCAUAGCACUUGUUAAGCUCCCAUGGCUGGCAGCAUCUGUGCAUUUGCAAUGACAACUCUAAAUCCAUCCAGGAUACAAAAGUACUCUAAAAUUGUAGCCUUUGUGUGUGUGUGUGCGCUGCAUGUUUUAUUUAUAAAGCUUUUAGAGAUAGCAGUUUGUUCUCUAAUUUAUUUUGGGUUGGUGAGGAGGAGGAAAUCUCCUUGGCAAGAUAGGGAAUUUGCAAUCUGAAUGUAAAAGGAAUAUGAAAAAAAGAGGAAUAACAAUUAAAAAAAGUCCAGAAUUCUGGGACAUGUUUGCAUGAAUAAUAAUGCUUCCAAAAUGAUAAUGGAUUGUGUGUCAUCCAUUUGUGGAACUGUAGAAGCUGCUAUGAUAAAUAAAACGAUACGUCAAAUUUGAAACAGCAUGGGGCCUGCAUGUGUCACUCAUCAGGUACAAUUAAAUAAGAAUAAUUGGCUGCCUGCUAAGUGAGAAGCUGCACUAUGAUGGUGCCAUUCUCAGCUUUCAAUUGCAUGAGGGACAGUUGCUCUGGACAUCCAUUUCAGGGCUGGCCCAUGCUUGAUGGGGGGAUUGUGAGACUGAACGUGUGUGGAUGUUUGCCAAACCCUGUGGGGAAUCGAAGCUCAGCUCUCUGGUUCAGUGUUCUAAACUUCCAUUAUGUUUUUGUAGGGGCUUGACCACGACUGGCACUGCUGGUUACUUUUCUCCCCGCGGGGUGCACAGAGUCCUUGCAGCAGCACAGCUGCAAUUGCUUCUCAGCCUCAAAACCACUUCAUAGCAGAAGUGUGUGUUGAGUCUCUCCAGCCUGCCCGUGGCUCUUGGAGGAUGUCUGAGUUCAGCAGAGGAAGAAGCUCUCACAGGCAAAACUGCUGGGAAUGCAGCAGAACUUCUUGUUAUUCAGCUCUGGCCCGUCUCUCUUUGCUGCUUUUUGUUUCCAGUUAUUUCCAUGUGUUGGCACUAAAAUAAGAACUUUUAAUUGCCAUCUACUCAUUAGCUCAUUAUCAGCACCACCUUAGAAGUGAUAAUGGCCAGGUGCAUACUAGUUAUUUCAGGUUGCACUAUCUGCAAAUGCUUUACUGGAGGCAACAAAAACUUCCAGGAAAUUAUGUGCAAAUGGCUUUUGGGAUCAUAGUUGCUCUGUGUAGAGUUGAAGGAGGCAUUUCCCCCCCCACCUCUCUGACCAUGUGUUUGUUGCUUCUAACAUGUUUUCCUGUGCAGACUUUCAGCGCCUCCUGUCCUGAGUCUGUCUUCAAGCCAGGUUUGUGGAAUACAAAGGCUUCCCACUACAAAAAGAUCAGGUGAAAAAUGAUGGUAAGGCCACAGUUCUGCUUUUGUCAUUUCAGGACUUUGAAGUAAACUUUUCUGCUUCAGGAGCAUUUGUCUCCUUGCUUUCAUCUAAUGACAGCUUCUAUUUGCUGCCAGCUACGUAGUCAACCACCACUCAAGGUGGAUAUUGACAGAGGGUACUGACACUCACAUGUUACCAGAGACUAUUAAAAUAUGAAGAAAUCUAAUACACUCACUUUUCAUGACUGUGCUGUUCUGCAAAGUAUAGAAACAGACAUAAGAUGGUAAUUUGAUGCUGAGUUCUUUGCUCAGAAGCCAGGCUGACUAUGGACAGGACAGUCCAUUAGUGUUAUUCUGCUCCCUUGCACGUCCUUUCUAGGCUGCAAGUUCUCUGGAGCACCAGUUUCUUGUGUCCAUCAGUGUAUACUUACAGUGCUUUUAGACCCUACCAGGACACAAACCCACAACAGCUGCAUGUGAGUGAACUGCUGCCAGAGGUUAGGCUGAUGGAAUUAAUGAUAGUAACCUUAGUCGUAGGAGCCUUCAUCCCAACAAGGCUUCCUGUCAUUUAAAUAUAUUAUUGACAGGAAGGCUAUUGAGUUCAGUUCCCUGCCUGGUAUUUUAUGAAGAAGGAUAGAAAAAUGGUUGGGAGCGCUGAGCCAGUGCAGAUCCUCUGGUCUUCUUGCCAGUGUACCUGGAAACAUGCUGCUGGUGCCCAAAAGCUGGCAGCAGUGUUGAGCUUUACUGAACUGAGAAGCAUCCUGAUGGCAUGGUAGGAGGUCUCUCUUGGAUCUGUUUCCACGGCUGAUUCUGGAGUUAUGGUUGGCCAACCAUGGAUGCCAGCAAUUUUGCUAGCAAUGCUUAUCAGCCCAAGAUCUGGCUUUAGGAGUACAAAUGCAAGCAUGUUCAAUGUAGACAAAGCCGUUAGCUUUAAAGGUUGACACUGAAGCCUUCUGUAUACACUGUGCAGAGGCUGUCUGUGUUAGAAAGUCCUUGUAAAAUUAGAAGGUGAAAAAACAUGACCAUUAGCACAGGAGCAAAUGGAUUUGCUGGACUGCAUUCAGCAAAACAAAGCUGAGACUCGUCUGAGCCCAGCUGUCGUGUGCUGUUUGGCUGCUCUUUGUCUGCCAGCUCUGUGUGUCCUUCCUUCUCAUGUGCAGGACGCAUGAUGACUUGCCUUGAGCCCUCUUGGGCUCUGGUCUGCCCAGAGUCCAUGUUGUUUGUGUGCAGCGGUUUGGGCAUGUGCUGGUGGCUGUGGGCUGAUUUGACCGUGGCAAUUGCUCUUACUUUAGAGGAGGCUCCUUUUGGUCCUGCUCAGGGUCAUUAGGGGUUGCCGAAUGUGGACACAUCUGUGAGCUGGGGAGAGCUCUAAGUGACCAGGGUCUCCUGGGUCAACUUAUGGGAAAAUGGGGAUGAGCUCCUUGGGCUGAUCCUGGCUGCCCACUGCACUGGCUGAGGCAGCAUCAUCUUUCCGUGCAUGGCCACAACAUGAGCUGUUCCAUACAAUAAUUUAGUUUGGUUUUCUACAGGAACAAAACUUAGACUUGCAGUCUGUGUGGAUUCAUCUGUCUUCAUGCUCGUUACUCCACGAACAGUAAAGUCAGUUCCAGCAGAUAGUUACAGAGGUAGAGUUGUCUCAAAGGUGUGAUGUUCUAAUAGGUAGAUGGGGAAAGUAACUACGAUUGCAGCCCAGAAGACCAACCAUAUCCUGGGUUGCGUCAAGAGAAACAUGACCAGCAGGUUGAGGAAGGUGAGAUUCUGCCCUUUUGCUCUGCUCUUGUGAGACCCAUGAAGAUAAGAGCACAAUGAGGGCUCAGCCUUACAGUAUAUCCAAGAGGGAUAUUCAGUGAGCUCAGGUUAGAAUGCCAGGUACCAUUUUUUAACACCAGCUUUGUGCUUCUGUGCUGUUCUCAGCAAACAGUGCUCCUGAGCUAAACUUAGUGUGGUUUGGGCAGGUGGAGCCCAACUGUGUUCUAACAGCUGUGGCUAUGAAGUUCAUCUAUCAGUGUUUUUGUGAGGAAGUGAAAACUGGUGGAAUGAAUUUGUACCAGCCUCGUGGGUUUUUCUUUUGCCUCAUGUUUAUUGUGUUUGGUCAUGAGGCUUCAUAUUAGGAGCCCUAAAAGCCAGUUUUACUAAAUUGGUAGAGCACGGGCUUCACUGUAAUUAUGAAAGAAGGUUUAAGUACUUCAACCGUGUUGAUACUUUCAAAGUGUUAUGUCCUGUUACUCUGUGAUUUUGAUAAGCCUGGUCAGUCAUUGGAAAACUGAAUUGUUUAUGAAAAAUAGCAUAUCUGAACUUGAAAAAAGCCCCCUCCCCCCCCCCCCCCCUUUUUUUUUUGCUUCAAGAAAGGCUGAAGGCGGGGAGGAAAGUCAUAAAAUAUUAACAAACUCUGCUUUUAAUGCUGAUACAAUUGCCCCCGCACAGCUCUGUACACUGCACGUUGAAAGCAUUGUGGUGCACUGGGAAUUGCCAUGUGCUUUGUGAGAGGGGAAGCCAAAUGGGCCCGCUUUUCCUCUUGACAUUGCCAAUGAUCUUCAGAAAUGGAUGCCAUAGAAUACAGAUUUGGGGCCUCCUCAUUGCAGACUUAAAUAAACAGAGUUUGGAGCUUUAUCAGGGGACAUGGACUAACGACCAAGAAGACCAUGGCCAGAAAGACUGGUGGGGUCUUCCAACAUAGGCAGAAUCCUUCUUGUUGGGGUUGCUGGUCUAAUGUGUCUGCACCUGCGUGGCAAAUGCUGAAUUUCCCUUUGGUUGUCUGUGGGCAGACUGUCCUGGGUGCAAAUCCACCCUUAAAGGCAGAGUUGUACUAAGGGAAAUUUUGGCCAGAAGUCGUUCAAAGAUAAGUGUUUUUGGUAAAUGUUUGUUCUAAUUAGCAUAAUAAUGUCUUUGUGACAAGGCAUUGGCUGGAUUUAUGAAUAAAUGAAAGCUGUUGCAUUAAGCAAAGAGGAAAAUAAGAGAGAAGCGAAGAGACAGAACACUCAUCAUACCUUUCAGCUGUCAGAAAUGUUUUCUUCUGGUUUGGGUGAAGGGAAGUUUGAAGCAGUGUUUAUUCAUGAGGCUCUGCCCAGCCCGGUGUGAUUUUUUACUUGCACAUCCUGCAGCAGGAAUGUCAGGGAACAUGGCACAUAUUUCAUUCGAUGGAGAUCAAACCAAGUCAUAUUUGAAACACUGUAUGAAGAUGAAGGUGUUCAAAAUUAAAGAGCUGGAUUAGGUAUGGGUCUUCGUGUCACGUUAUUCCUCUGAAUGUUUUCAUGUCAGUAGAAAAAACAAGAACAAGGCUUUCUGACCUUGAAAAGAAAUGCCUGAGGGAAAGACUCCUCAUGCAAUUUUUAAUACUUUUCCUAGUGACUUUUUUUUUUAACUGCUGUAGCACGAUACAGGUUUGAACUAAUGAAUGUCACGCUCAUAUGGGGCAGUUCCAAAAAUGAAAGACCUUGAGUGACUUAACGCUAUUAUUGCCCUGUAUGAUGAUGUUAUCAACAUUACCUACAUUUCUGACUUUCAAGUGUCUUGGUAUCUUAUAGUUAGCUUGUCUGCUGAAUGAGAGACACACUCUAAACUUAGUUUCAAAGCAAUCAUAUAAAGCUUUAUUUUUAAAAAUAUGUAAAAAUGAUAAUUACAUGUAGAUUAUUUUUUAACUUUCAUUAGCCCCAUCUGCUUCAUUUAAAGCGAUAUUUGCUAAAGGAUGCUUGUAGCUUAACUCUUCCUCCCAUAUACUGGGGAAAGAGGGCCAUCACCUCCAGGUCCCUUCAAAGAUAGUUUUGCUUGCGGGUCUUCGAAAGACAUGAAUGGG